This 1230-nucleotide ribosomal RNA is filed under the name human gut metagenome. RNAcentral's name for it is "bacterial LSU rRNA". It matches the Rfam family "Bacterial large subunit ribosomal RNA", at positions 1326 to 2569 of the family's 2925-position model. The record is from RNAcentral.
AAACCCCCUCGCCGAAAGACUAAGGUUUCCUGAUCAACGCUAAUCGGAUCAGGGUUAGUCGGGUCCUAAGGCUCAGCCGAACGGUGAGGCCGAUGGCAGAACAGGUUAAUAUUCCUGUACUACCUUAAGGAGUGACGUGGAGACGGAGGCGUGAUAGCGCCGCGGACUGACGGAAUAGUCCGUUGAAGGGUGUAGAUGUUGAUCUUUGCAGGCAAAUCCACAAAGAGAGUCGAACCUGAUAGUAUACCAAAUUCUUCGGAAUAAGGUAAUAGUGCGUGUAAACAUACUCCCAAGAAAAUCCGCUAAACUUAAUCUUUAAGGUACCCGUACCGCAAACGGACACACGUAGUCGGGUUGAAUAUACUAAGGCGCUUGAGUGAUUCACGGUUAAGGAACUAGGCAAAUUGACCCUGUAACUUCGGGAUAAAGGGUCCCAACGAGAGUUGGGCGCAGAGAAUAGGUCCAGGCAACUGUUUAACAAAAACACAGGGCUGUGCCAAAUUGAAAGAUUACGUAUACAGCCUGACACCUGCCCGGUGCUGGAAGGUUAAGAGGAGAUGUCAUCGCAAGAGAAGCAUUGAAUUGAAGCCCCAGUAAACGGCGGCCGUAACUAUAACGGUCCUAAGGUAGCGAAAUUCCUUGUCGGGUAAGUUCCGACCUGCACGAAUGGUGUAAUGAUCUGGACACUGUCUCAACCGUGAGCUCAGUGAAAUUGUAGUAUCGGUGAAGAUGCCGAUUACCCGCGAUGGGACGAAAAGACCCCGUGAACCUUUACUAUAGCUUAACAUUGAAUUUGGGUAAUUGAUGUGUAGGAUAGGCCGGAGACUUCGAAGCAGGUACGCCAGUAUUUGUGGAGUCGCUGUUGAAAUACGGCCCUUUGAUUAUUUGAGUUCUAACUCGUUGAUGCGAGGACACUGUUUGGUGGGUAGUUUGACUGGGGUGGUCGCCUCCAAAAGUGUAACGGAGGCUUCUAAAGGUGCCCUCAGGACGAUUGGUAACCGUCCGUAGAGUGUAAUGGCAUAAGGGCGCUUGACUGGGAGACAGACAAGUCGAUCAGGUAGGAAACUAGAGCAUAGUGAUCCGGUGUUUCCGUAUGGAAGGGACAUCGCUCAAAGGAUAAAAGGUACUCCGGGGAUAACAGGCUGAUCCCUCCCAAGAGCUCAUAUCGACGGAGGGGUUUGGCACCUCGAUGUCGGCUCGUCACAUCCUGGGGCUGGAGAAGGUCCCAAG